GCAGUCGUGGCCGAGUGGUUAAGGCGAUGGAUUAGAAAUCCAUUGGGAUUUAUCCCGCACAGGUUCGAAUCCUGUCGACUGCG
Tetranychus urticae (two-spotted spider mite) is the source of this 83-nucleotide transfer RNA. It matches the Rfam family "tRNA". Rfam says of the family: Transfer RNA (tRNA) molecules are approximately 80 nucleotides in length. Their secondary structure includes four short double-helical elements and three loops (D, anti-codon, and T loops). Further hydrogen bonds mediate the characteristic L-shaped molecular structure. tRNAs have two regions of fundamental functional importance: the anti-codon, which is responsible for specific mRNA codon recognition, and the 3' end, to which the tRNAs corresponding amino acid is attached (by aminoacyl-tRNA synthetases). tRNAs cope with the degeneracy of the genetic code in two manners: having more than one tRNA (with a specific anti-codon) for a particular amino acid; and 'wobble' base-pairing, i.e. permitting non-standard base-pairing at the 3rd anti-codon position. The record is from Rfam. NCBI's taxonomy places the organism in Eukaryota, Metazoa, Arthropoda, Arachnida, Trombidiformes, Tetranychidae.